This 401-nucleotide ribosomal RNA is filed under the name uncultured bacterium. RNAcentral's name for it is "bacterial SSU rRNA". It matches the Rfam family "Bacterial small subunit ribosomal RNA", at positions 355 to 773 of the family's 1533-position model. The record is from RNAcentral.
UGGGGAAUAUUGGACAAUGGGCGCAAGCCUUAUCCAGCCAUGCCGCGUGAGUGAUGAAGGCCCUAGGGUUGUAAAGCUCUUUUGUGCGGGAAGAUAAUGACUGUACCGCAAGAAUAAGCCCCGGCUAACUUCGUGCCAGCAGCCGCGGUAAUACGAAGGGGGCUAGCGUUGCUCGGAAUCACUGGGCGUAAAGGGUGCGUAGGCGGGUCUUUAAGUCAGGGGUGAAAUCCUGGAGCUCAACUCCAGAACUGCCUUUGAUACUGAGGAUCUUGAGUUCGGGAGAGGUGAGUGGAACUGCGAGUGUAGAGGUGAAAUUCGUAGAUAUUCGCAAGAACACCAGUGGCGAAGGCGGCUCACUGGCCCGAUACUGACGCUGAGGCACGAAAGCGUGGGGAGCAAAC